This 468-nucleotide ribosomal RNA is filed under the name uncultured bacterium. RNAcentral's name for it is "partial 16S ribosomal RNA". It matches the Rfam family "Bacterial small subunit ribosomal RNA", at positions 28 to 507 of the family's 1533-position model. The record is from RNAcentral.
GAUGAACGCUGGCGGCGUGCCUAACACAUGCAAGUCGAACGGAAAGGCCCUGCUCUUGUGGGUUGCUCGAGAGGCGAACGGGUGAGAAACACGUGAGUAACCUGCCCCUGUCUUUCGGAUAACAUUAGGAAACUGGGGAUAAUACCGGAUAGGAGCUCCUGCUGCAUGUUGGGGGUUGGAGAGUUUCGGCGGUUGGGGAUGGACUCGCGGCUUAUCAGCUUGUUGGUGGGGUAGUGGCUUACCAAGGCUUUGACGGGUAGCCGGCCUGAGAGGGUGACCGGCCACAUUGGGACUGAGAUACGGCCCAGACUCCUACGGGAGGCAGCAGUGGGGAAUAUUGCACAAUGGGCGGAAGCCUGAUGCAGCAACGCCGCGUGCGGGAUGACGGCCUUCGGGUUGUAAACCGCUUUCGCCUGUGACGAAGCGUGAGUGACGGUAAUGGGUAAAGAAGCACCGGCUAACUACGUG